Molecule: ribosomal RNA, 466 nt
Filed under: uncultured bacterium
Lineage: Bacteria
Description: partial 16S ribosomal RNA
Rfam family: Bacterial small subunit ribosomal RNA
Source: RNAcentral
GACGAACGCUGGCGGCGCGUCUAACACAUGCAAGUCGAACGAGCGAGCGAGAGCUUGCUUUCUCAAGCGAGUGGCGAACGGGUGAGUAACGCGUGAGGAACCUGCCUCAAAGAGGGGGACAACAGUUGGAAACGACUGCUAAUACCGCAUAAGCCCACGACCCGGCAUCGGGUAGAUGGAAAAGGAGCAAUCCGCUUUGAGAUGGCCUCGCGUCCGAUUAGCUAGUUGGUGAGGUAACGGCCCACCAAGGCGACGAUCGGUAGCCGGACUGAGAGGUUGAACGGCCACAUUGGGACUGAGACACGGCCCAGACUCCUACGGGAGGCAGCAGUGGGGAAUAUUGCACAAUGGGGGAAACCCUGAUGCAGCGACGCCGCGUGGAGGAAGAAGGUCUUCGGAUUGUAAACUCCUGUUGUGGAGGAAGAUAAUGACGGUACUCAACAAGGAAGUGACGGCUAACUACGUG